CAACGGAACAUCGAAUGCCAGAACGUUGUGCUGUUGUGAUGAUGGUCCUUUGAGAAUUUUCUGCUACUGAAGAAAGAGUUCCCUUCCUCUUGGCUGCCGAACA
Molecule: long non-coding RNA, 103 nt
Filed under: Struthio camelus australis
Lineage: Eukaryota; Metazoa; Chordata; Aves; Struthioniformes; Struthionidae
Description: lncRNA (ENSSCUG00000015659.1)
Source: RNAcentral